GUGGCAGUCUUUGUGGUUGUAGCACUGAGCGGUGUGCUACAAUUGACCAAAGUCCACACAGAGUGAGGCUGGUUCCUGCCGACAGGGCCUGUAAAGGCAUUGGUUUCCCUGUGCGAUGGUUCCAUACAUU
Molecule: non-coding RNA, 130 nt
Organism: Melanotaenia boesemani (Boeseman's rainbowfish)
Lineage: Eukaryota; Metazoa; Chordata; Actinopteri; Atheriniformes; Melanotaeniidae
Source: RefSeq, a predicted model, not a curated record